CCUCCAGGAGGCUGUGCUUGCAGACUCCACGGAGCCUCUCUCAAGAUUUCCUGAACCUUGUGGAUUUACAGUAAGACGAAGUUCCCUGGGGAG
This is a non-coding RNA of Rattus norvegicus (Norway rat), 93 nucleotides long. The record is from Rfam. NCBI's taxonomy places the organism in Eukaryota, Metazoa, Chordata, Mammalia, Rodentia, Muridae.